GUCACACAGGGAAAGUAUGUUACUUUAUUAAUAAAUUAACAACCAGUGACACUCAUCACUUUAAUAAGGCUAUACGUAGGAUAUUUCUUAAUGGUUGCAUUAUUUCAUCCUAAUUCUUCUAGCUUUGAUAGAUCACAAUGUGGAAGUUAUAAAAGGGCCUUCAUGUCACUUCCCAUACAAACUGAAUUAAAAGGCAAAAGAAAGUGACACAUCUAAAUAAAGGUGAUGACCUGUGGUUCUUGGAGGAGUUGAUUUCUGAGUAACUAACAAGUAUAUAGUGGAACAUCUGAAAGUUAAACUAGAUAAGAUAAGACUUCUACAUCAUCCUGUCCCAAUUUGGUGUUUUCCUCUCAAUGACGUGUCUGUGACCACAGUCAAUGUGACGCCGAUAUAAGCGACAGUAUUGAGGCUAUGCAGGAGAAUUGAACUCUUCUGCUGAACCUGAAACAGCUAACGCUAAAGUUCCUGCGAGACAGACAUGUGGACCGUUCUGAACCAGUAUACCGCUCUAUUUACACUGACGAUAGUGGCUCUGGUUCAUGGAGAGUUAGUGCACAACUGUACAAAGAACCAAACCCAUUGUGUCCAUCUUCUGAAGGAAAUACGGCAAUCUAUCAAGAAUGCAAUGAAUCAACCAGCAUUGGUAAGAAAAAGGAAAAAGACAUACUCUCAGAUUUCUUUUUAUUUUCUGGUCUGCUUAAUAAUUACCUUUUUUUCUUUAUUAUAAGAAUAAAACAUAUGUUACAACAAUAGGAGAAGGAAACAGAGUCAAAUGUGUGAAGCAUGUCUUCUGUUUGGCUGAGAAGAUUUUGGAGGAGGAAUCUUGUAAGAACAAGACAGUGAAGCAAAUACUGGGAAAGCUACCCGAGCUGUUAAAUAGAUACAACAACUGGACCAAUGAAGGACAAUGCCAGCUGCAAAAGGGUCAACCCCAAGAAACACUAAAACAAUUUCUUUGCGAACUGGACAAAUGUGCAUGCAGAGCCUUCAAGUGUCCCAAUUUAAGACGCUUAAAAGGCUGUCCUUAAGUUAUUAAUUGUGAUGUUUUAUUUAUUUAAUGUAUUCUUUAUAUUUAUUACCUGUUUGUCUUUUCAGUAAAGUACCUUUUAUGUUUUUAUACAUAAAUAAAUCAAAAUGUGAUGAUGAAAAUUUGAUGCAAAUCUGUUUCUAUUAUUACAACAAGCCAAACUGGGAUCUUUACUUUAAGAUGCGUCACUUAUGUAAACUUGGUGUGUGUUUUCAUAAAAAAGCUGUGUACUAUUCCAUCAAGAAAGCAACACGAAUCUGAGAUCAGGCAUGAAUAAUAAUUUAUUAAAUAAAAAACAGAUAUUAGUAAACAUGUGACAUACACUACAAUUAUAAUAAUAAUAAAAAAAAUCAAUUUCACAUUCACUAAAGAACACAUUUAGCAAAAGCUAU
Cyprinodon variegatus (sheepshead minnow) is the source of this 1419-nucleotide long non-coding RNA. RefSeq lists it as uncharacterized. NCBI's taxonomy places the organism in Eukaryota, Metazoa, Chordata, Actinopteri, Cyprinodontiformes, Cyprinodontidae. The transcript is spliced from 3 exons. The record is from RefSeq and is a predicted model, not a curated record.